AAAAUCCGUCGCCUUUAGAAAUCGUGAGGGAUCAAGUCCCUCUAUCCCCA
Molecule: transfer RNA, 50 nt
Filed under: Aletris formosana
Lineage: Eukaryota; Viridiplantae; Streptophyta; Magnoliopsida; Dioscoreales; Nartheciaceae
Description: partial tRNA-Leu
Source: RNAcentral